Molecule: ribosomal RNA, 484 nt
Filed under: uncultured bacterium
Lineage: Bacteria
Description: partial 16S ribosomal RNA
Rfam family: Bacterial small subunit ribosomal RNA
Source: RNAcentral
AUUGAACGCUGGCGGCAGGCCUAACACAUGCAAGUCGAGCGGAUGAAGGGAGCUUGCUCCUGGAUUCAGCGGCGGACGGGUGAGUAAUGCCUAGGAAUCUGCCUGGUAGUGGGGGAUAACGUCCGGAAACGGGCGCUAAUACCGCAUACGUCCUGAGGGAGAAAGUGGGGGAUCUUCGGACCUCACGCUCUCAGAUGAGCCUAGGUCGAAUUAGCUAGUUGGUGGGGUAAAGGCCUACCAAGGCGACGAUCCGUAACUGGUCUGAGAGGAUGAUCAGUCACACUGGAACUGAGACACGGUCCAGACUCCUACGGGAGGCAGCAGUGGGGAAUAUUGGACAAUGGGCGAAAGCCUGAUCCAGCCAUGCCGCGUGUGUGAAGAAGGUCUUCGGAUUGUAAAGCACUUUAAGUUGGGAGGAAGGGCAGUAAGUUAAUACCUUGCUGUUUUGACGUUACCAACAGAAUAAGCACCGGCUAACUUCGUG